UCCGGGGUGGUGUGCUGGCCCGCCGAGUAGAUUCUGGCUCUACCCUACGUAGGUUCGAUUCCUGCCCCCGGAG
RNAcentral lists this transfer RNA (73 nucleotides) under Enterococcus sp. Its description in RNAcentral is "tRNA-OTHER". It matches the Rfam family "tRNA". Rfam says of the family: Transfer RNA (tRNA) molecules are approximately 80 nucleotides in length. Their secondary structure includes four short double-helical elements and three loops (D, anti-codon, and T loops). Further hydrogen bonds mediate the characteristic L-shaped molecular structure. tRNAs have two regions of fundamental functional importance: the anti-codon, which is responsible for specific mRNA codon recognition, and the 3' end, to which the tRNAs corresponding amino acid is attached (by aminoacyl-tRNA synthetases). tRNAs cope with the degeneracy of the genetic code in two manners: having more than one tRNA (with a specific anti-codon) for a particular amino acid; and 'wobble' base-pairing, i.e. permitting non-standard base-pairing at the 3rd anti-codon position. Lineage: Bacteria; Bacillati; Bacillota; Bacilli; Lactobacillales; Enterococcaceae. The record is from RNAcentral.